This 440-nucleotide ribosomal RNA is filed under the name uncultured bacterium. RNAcentral's name for it is "partial 16S ribosomal RNA". It matches the Rfam family "Bacterial small subunit ribosomal RNA", at positions 28 to 507 of the family's 1533-position model. The record is from RNAcentral.
GACGAACGCUGGCGGCGUGCCUAAUGCAUGCAAGUCGCACGCGGCACCUUCGGGUUUUGAGUGGCGAACGGCUGAGGACCCCGUGGGGACCUGUCCGGGAGCGGGGGACAACAUCGCGAAAGCUUUGCUAAUCCCGCAUACGCUCUGAGGAGGAAAGCCGAAGGGCGCUCCCGGGUGGCCCUGCUGCCCAUCAGGUUGUUGGUGGGGUAACGGCCUACCAAGUCAAUGACGGGUUGCUGGUCCGUGAGGACGACCAGCCAGACUGGGACUGGGACACGACACAGACUCCUACGGGAGGAAGCAGCAAGGAAUUAUCAGCAAUGGGCGCAAGCCUGAGCGAGCAACGCCGCGGGAAGGAAGACGGCCGUCGGGAUGUAGACUGCUUUUGCUAGGGAUGAUGAGUGACAGUACCUGGCGAAUCAGCCCCGGCUAACUCUGUG